CUACGGGCUGCACCAGUGGGGGAUAUUGCACAAUGGGGGAAACCCUGAUGCAGCAACGCCGCGUGAAGGAAGACGGUUUUCGGAUUGUAAACUUCUAUCAGCUGGGAAGAAAAUGACUGUACCAGACUAAGAAGCCCCGGCUAACUACGUGCCAGCAGCCGCGGUAAUACGUAGGGGGCAAGCGUUAUCCGGAUUUACUGGGUGUAAAGGGUUCGUAGGCGGUUAUUUAAGUCAGAUGUGAAAGCCCGAGGCUCAACCUCGGGACUGCAUUUGAAACUGGGUAACUAGAGUACAGGAGAGGAAAGCGGAAUUCCUAGUGUAGCGGUGAAAUGCGUAGAUAUUAGGAAGAACACCAGUGGCGAAGGCGGCUUUCUGGACUGUAACUGACGCUGAGGAACGAAAGCGUGGGGAGCGAACAGGAUUAGAUACCCCCGUAGUC
RNAcentral lists this ribosomal RNA (439 nucleotides) under uncultured bacterium. RNAcentral describes it as "partial 16S ribosomal RNA". It matches the Rfam family "Bacterial small subunit ribosomal RNA", at positions 339 to 795 of the family's 1533-position model. The record is from RNAcentral.